GUUGUAAUCAACAUAACAAGAAAUCUCCUGCCACUGAGGACUCAUAGGCGCUGCAACAUCAUGCCUGGAAAAUAAAGUUACAAGUUUCAUCACAUGAGUUAGAACAGGCAAUUCUGAAUAAUUCAAUUGACCAGAUUGAUUAACAAAAAUGCAAGAUGAUGGAAGUGCAUCAAUGUAACAGCACGCUCGCUCCUUGUACAUACGUGUUAAGAUAACGAGCUGUCAUCCCAUGGACCAAUUGCACAAUAUCACCAUGGCGAACUGAGCGAGGUGGAUUGCUGACAACCAGCUCCUGUCUGAAUAAGAAAGAAAACACAAUGACAAGUCCAUAUAGUUUAUAUAUAAAUAACUGUCUGCUAAACAUCUUCAUUUCAGCUAAGCACAAAAACAUCAAGUGAUGAGCUUGGGAACUAAGGAAGAUAAAUUAAAAUUCUGUUGGAAAAAAAGCAUUCAUGGCAAUAUUUACGUUUUGUCUCAGAAUUAGUAGUAACAGUAGAAGGAAUUAAGUUACUAUUUAGAAAGUAUCAUGAUGCAAUUUGGAAGUAUUGUCAAGUGCACAAAUAAAAUCUUCU
This is a long non-coding RNA of Amblyraja radiata (thorny skate), 572 nucleotides long. RefSeq lists it as uncharacterized. Lineage: Eukaryota; Metazoa; Chordata; Chondrichthyes; Rajiformes; Rajidae. The transcript has 2 exons. The record is from RefSeq and is a predicted model, not a curated record.